Long non-coding RNA from Rhododendron vialii, 1391 nucleotides. RefSeq lists it as uncharacterized. The transcript is spliced from 5 exons. Lineage: Eukaryota; Viridiplantae; Streptophyta; Magnoliopsida; Ericales; Ericaceae. The record is from RefSeq and is a predicted model, not a curated record.
UUUUAGUUCAAAACUACGUCGUUUCAUGCGUUUUGCUUGUCACAAAAAACAAGCCCUAAUUUUACACUUCUCACGUUGCCUCUCUCCACUUUUACUCUACCUCUCUCCACUCCUGCAUCCACGCUCCAUUCCUGCUGAAGACUUCCAUCAGUAGCGACGGUGACCCCGACCACAAAUCGACGGCUGUCGCUCCGAUCAUCCCAGGCAGGACACUUCAUCUCCGCCCCCUUCCUCGCCAGCCAAAACUCGCCAGCACCACCACCACACUCUGUGAUUUCUGGUAUAUAUUCACCAGGUUUGAUUUGAUUUUUUUCCUUAAUUCUUUCCCAAAUACAAAGGUAGGGUUUUAAUCGAACACCAUUAGAAUUUUAUAAUCAGUUAGGAUUUACACAAAUUUUGCACUUGUAGGAUUUGGAUUUACAUUCGUUGAGGUAUCGGUUUUCAUUUGGAUAACAUAUUGGGGUUUUUAGGUUGACUGACUCAUUCGGAUAACAAGCUCAAGAAAUAGGAGAUGAAAAAUAUUGUUUCCAUGCGUCAUGGGGACACCCCCCCAGCCCCCAAGCUAUUUCCGUCCCAAAUCUUCUUCUCCACAGGUAACGGGCAAUUUUUUGAUUUCCAUAAUUUUUUGUCUCCACAUGCGAUCUUUACUUGUUGAGCUCAAAUUUUGUGAUGUACAUGUCCCUACUUUUUAUAGCUAUAUUCAAUCUUCACAUUGUGAUAUUCUUUCACAGUUCAUGGUUUGUGAGAUUAUUUGUGUUUGCUUAUUUUCUGGGCAAGUGCAAUUAUAUCCUUUCUCAUUAUUGGUCACAGAGAUAACUCUUUAGACAGCACAAUUCUUUCAUCCUACCACUUAUUUGAUUUAAUUUCUGAGAGGAAAUAGAUGUCAUGACAUGCUGAUAAAUGAAUCUCAAGUUGCAUAAGAAGAUGGCCCUAUUGAUUUAGAACAUAGAAUCAGUAGGUUUUUUUGUUGCCAAAACAAGAAAUGAACUAGAAAUAAGAGGUAGAAACAACUUUUGCCAAUACUAAUGACCAGGACUCCACUUUCUUUUACAGGACAACGAACAAUGCUGCUAAUGCUGCCUAGGUAUGCACCUCUUGUUCCUGUACUAUGGAAAUUUAUGAAGCAAUGCCACGAGAAUCAGAAGUGAUCAGCCUUGUCUGGGCAUUUAACAUAUCUGUCGGCAGAUGCACCUGGCUGGCUAUUACCUUUGUCAGUUUUCUGCCCUGUAUAUAAGCAUAUGCUUACGAUAGUUGUCAAUGGGGAGUUCUACGAGCAAGAGACGCCACUGUCUUUAAAAGUUAUCAAAUGCUUGAUUGUUAUCUUAAGGCAGGCCUUAUGGCAGCUCCUGUGGUUGAAUCCUGUCGCUUCCCCAAAUGUAUCCAAGUCUACU